UACGUAGGUGACCAGCGUUGUCCGGAUUUACUGGGCGUAAAGAGCGCGCAGGCGGUCGUUCAAGUCGAGUGUGAAAGCCCCCGGCUCAACUGGGGAGGGUCAUUCGAUACUGAUCGACUCGAAGGCAGGAGAGGGAAGUGGAAUUCCCGGUGUAGUGGUGAAAUGCGUAGAUAUCGGGAGGAACACCAGUGGCGAAGGCGACUACCUGGCCUGUUCUUGACGCUGAGGCGCGAAAGCUAGGGGAGCAAACGGG
RNAcentral lists this ribosomal RNA (253 nucleotides) under uncultured bacterium. RNAcentral's name for it is "partial 16S ribosomal RNA". It matches the Rfam family "Bacterial small subunit ribosomal RNA", at positions 524 to 776 of the family's 1533-position model. The record is from RNAcentral.